CACCCGGGUGAUCAGCUUCCUCUCCAUUCCGCAACUACACUACACCAAGGGAGGGGCCCCACCCUGCAAACCCUCACUUCUCCAGCCAGUCUCUAUUCUACUUCACGGACAACAACUAAGCGCCGUGUGCUUUCCGUGAACUCUGGCCAGGUCAAACCAAGCCGCACCUUACUGACUCGCGCCGUCCCUAGCUGUCCCGCAAAGCCUCCGUAGUGGGGGAAGGGUGGCCCAGGGUGGAGGUCCGCGCGCACCGACUUCCGCCCCCCACACACACCGCGCGAUCCGUGGCCCGMGGCGGGAGCUGCGGUUGGACUGAGACGCCUGCGCACUGCCGCCCUCCUCGCGGCCCCGGGCACCCCACCCCCCGGUCUGGUCGCGCCCAUGCGCCUGCGCUGUGCACGUUUCGGGGCUGCGGCAGCCAUGCUGAACCCGUACAGAGAGGCGAGUGGGGGGGACAAGGUCGACGACAGCGGGAUAGGACGCGGGAGAUAUGAAGAAGCAGCAGCAUUAGCGCGCUCUGGGUGUCGGGAGACAGGCCUAGGCCUUGCGGCCCCGAGGCCCCCUCAAAACGACCCCCAGGAACGUUCGGAAAACUGGCCCUCGUGGCGGUGGGGGGGGGGGAAAGCAGCGGGCACGUGACUCCGAUCAGCCAAUCCGAGUGCUGCUGACGUGGCCGCGCGGCCCGGAUGCUCUCCCCACCCCCCAACCUGCUCGGGAAGGGAGGGGCUGGGGGCUAYGCCCCCUCCCCCAACACUGCUUCGGUUUCCGGGGGGGUUGACACCCCGGAUUACAUCCUCCCCCCACACCAAGCCGAGGGCAACAUUGGAGCCCCCCCGGAAGGCUCCACCAUCCAGAUUCUUCACUGCAGCGGCCUCYCUGCCAAGAACAGCAUUCCGCCCUGCGUCCUGCAGCCACACCCCUGGCGAGCCGCGCCUGGCUACGCCCACGCGACCCCUCCCGUUCGGCCAAUGGAGAACCACGAAUGGCACUACCAGCCCAAGCUUGGCAGUCGGGAGUUACUUCGUGCUUGGGAAAACUUAGUUGGAAGAGGAGGCGGGGAGAAGGUGYUGGAGGCCGUGGGGAGAUGGCCCUUGCACCUAUUCCAACCUCCCUGUUUCCCUGGAGUCGCCGAACCACAGCGCAACCAAGCGGCUCAGAUAUGGCGGGUUGCCUAUUCCCUGUGAGUCUAUGCGGCACUCUUCUGCCUGGUGACUGACGACUUGGAAAUGAAGUUUGUGACGUCAUCGCUUCGACAGACCAAUAGAAGRAGCUCCCGCGGAGAUGGGAUCCACCUCCUUCGACUUUGCUACUUCACGCGCGUGAGCGAGCGAGCGCGCGCGGAGGGGGUGGGGAAAUUCUGGAGCAGGGUGGCGCGCAUGAGCAACGAAGCUCCUCCUCCCCGCCUAUAUAUAAAGGGCUGGCGCGGGGCUCGGCGGCGCCAUUUCGCGCUGGAGUGGAGCAGCCUCUAGAACGACCUGGAGGAUUCUGCUUACCGAUACAGAGCCUUUGACUCGUCGGGGGCCGCCAUUACAAUCCACGUCCAUCCGUUUGGAAAUGGCCUUCGUCUCGGCCUAUGACCGGUCCCGGCGGACAGUACAGACCCCAUAGAAGCCCCUGAAGCUCCCCUUUUUCGGGCCCCGCCCAAUUGUCGGAGUCUGUCCACCCCCUCUACUCCGCCCUCAAGAGGAUUUCAAAGAUGGAGGCGGCGGCUUCCUAAACCACUUUUCGUGUUCAUCCGCCUCCAUCCGAGGUCGAAACGGGAUCUUGUCCAACCCGUACGGUCCCGACAGGAAGAGGGGACCCCUGCAAACCAACAGCGGGCUGUAUUGACGACGGUGUCUAGGAUCGGGGACUGUCUUUGGUUUUGGAGAGUCUACCCUCCUUCUCGUACGCCGGUCUCUGCUGAGGCCGCCGCCAUUUUCUUGCUGUCCGCUGCCUGCGGAGCGCGCCAAGCUGCCGGGAGUCCUGCGAGAGGCCGCGCGGAGGAGACUGCUYGUGCCGGCCCAGCGGGGAGAUUGUCGCCUGGAGGGCCAAGGGCAACGGCCUCCCCCCCACUUCCCGGGUUAUGCUGGACCGGGCGGUGAGGGGAUCCGAGGCCACCCGGACUUUUCGCGGCUGAAGGCAGC
Long non-coding RNA from Urocitellus parryii (Arctic ground squirrel), 2126 nucleotides. The record is from Ensembl. Lineage: Eukaryota; Metazoa; Chordata; Mammalia; Rodentia; Sciuridae.